RNAcentral lists this ribosomal RNA (320 nucleotides) under uncultured Prevotella sp. RNAcentral describes it as "bacterial SSU rRNA". It matches the Rfam family "Bacterial small subunit ribosomal RNA", at positions 28 to 339 of the family's 1533-position model. The record is from RNAcentral. Lineage: Bacteria; Pseudomonadati; Bacteroidota; Bacteroidia; Bacteroidales; Prevotellaceae.
GAUGAACGCUAGCUACAGGCUUAACACAUGCAAGUCGAGGGGCAGCGAGAGGGAAGCUUGCUUUCCUUGUCGGCGACCGGCGCACGGGUGAGUAACGCGUAUCCAACCUUCCCUAUAGUAGAGAAUAGCCCGGCGAAAGUCGGAUUAAUGCUCUAUGUUAUUCAAAGCGGGCAUCUAAUUUGAAUCAAAGGUUCACCGCUAUAGGAUGGGGAUGCGUCUGAUUAGCUUGAUGGCGGGGUAACGGCCCACCAUGGCGACGAUCAGUAGGGGUUCUGAGAGGAAGGUCCCCCACAUUGGAACUGAGACACGGUCCAAACUCC